This 71-nucleotide transfer RNA is filed under the name archaeon. RNAcentral describes it as "tRNA-Ala". It matches the Rfam family "tRNA". From Rfam's summary of the family: Transfer RNA (tRNA) molecules are approximately 80 nucleotides in length. Their secondary structure includes four short double-helical elements and three loops (D, anti-codon, and T loops). Further hydrogen bonds mediate the characteristic L-shaped molecular structure. tRNAs have two regions of fundamental functional importance: the anti-codon, which is responsible for specific mRNA codon recognition, and the 3' end, to which the tRNAs corresponding amino acid is attached (by aminoacyl-tRNA synthetases). tRNAs cope with the degeneracy of the genetic code in two manners: having more than one tRNA (with a specific anti-codon) for a particular amino acid; and 'wobble' base-pairing, i.e. permitting non-standard base-pairing at the 3rd anti-codon position. The record is from RNAcentral.
GGGCCUGUAGUAUAAUGGUAUUAUACGCCCUUGGCUAGGGUGUGACCCGCGUUCGAAUCGCGGCAGGUCCA